RNAcentral lists this long non-coding RNA (1186 nucleotides) under Anas platyrhynchos platyrhynchos (common mallard). RNAcentral's name for it is "lncRNA (ENSAPLG00000017570.1)". The record is from RNAcentral. Lineage: Eukaryota; Metazoa; Chordata; Aves; Anseriformes; Anatidae.
GGCUUUUGUGAUGAUGUGGUGUUGCUGUCCAUCUCUGCUUAGUGGGAAGACAGCAGGGCCAGCAGGAGCCCCCAGAGAGGUGCAGGGACUCCUGCUGUCUGGGGCCAUCAGAGCCCACCGGGACCACAGCUCACCUCAGUUCUUUGGCUUCCCAUUCAAGGAGAAAUGCAGAGCAACCGCCUAUGCUGGCAACCUCCCGUUCUGAUUUACCCUCCUCCUUCUCACAUGUAUGCCUCUUCUUUAAGAACUAGGGUUCUGCCACUGUGGACUUACACCCACGAGCUCUUCAUGGCCAUUCUGCCCUUGUUGUUUUCUCCUCUCCCUUUUCUCUUUUUCUGCCUGAACAGGUUUGGAUUAGACAAGACCUCCCUGAAUGUACACAAUGCCUCUGCCAAUGCACAAAUACGCUAGAGAAUUCUGAGUUUCCACAACAUUUUUUAUAUGAUUUGACCAGACUGGUACAAGGUUAAUUAAAAAAAAAAUGUUUAAAUGUGGUUUCAUCAGAACUGUAAAAUGCUUCUGCAAGAAUCUCUGUCAGGACUUCAUAAAGGUGAUAGUGUACUUUAACUGGCAAAGCACAAUUAGACACAGUCAAAUAUUGUCGUGGUUAAAGACUAUUAAUUUUCCUUACAUUUGUCAUGAAUUAAUUUUUUUCUGGCUAUAUAAACAGUGUUUCCUUUAUGAAUACAACUGCUUCCUUUACAUUGAAAAAUUAAAUUUGCUUUGAUAAUGAACUGAGUUGCUAAUAAUCAUUUUGCAAUGCAAAGAAGUGCAAUUACUGGCUGUCGUGCCUCACAGUGCCCCAGCCAGUUGUAACUAUCUGAAAGUCGGCUUCUCUACCAGUGAACACCGCCAAGCAUUACGUGGGGCCAAGAGACAAAACCCAGGCCAGCUGGGUGGUGGUGCAGAGCCAGGGGCCCGCAUGCUCUCAGUUGGCACCGCCUGUGCCCCAAGCACACGCAGCUGGAAGCCAGGGGGGAUGCACAGCUGUGCCAUGGUCCCUGUGAGAUGCACUAAGCAGGUUUCUGCUUUGCCAAGGUCACCCCUCCAGCUGGCUGUGGGGCUUUUUGUGCCACUGCUGGUUUUCCCACUGCUGCAGUGGUUCUCCUACCUGGGAAGCACUGCUGAGGGAGAGGCAAACUGUUUGGACAUCUUCAUCCAUGCCAGAGGACACAAGCAGAGGUGA